UACAGAGGGUGCAAGCGUUAAUCGGAAUUACUGGGCGUAAAGCGCGCGUAGGUGGUUCAGUAAGAUGGAAGUGAAAUCCCCGGGCUUAACCUGGGAACUGCUUUCAUAACUGCUGAGCUAGAGUACGGUAGAGGGUAGUGGAAUUUCCUGUGUAGCGGUGAAAUGCGUAGAUAUAGGAAGGAACACCAGUGGCGAAGGCGACUACCUGGACUGAUACUGACACUGAGGUGCGAAAGCGUGGGGAGCAAACAGGAUUAGAUACCCCUGUAGU
This 271-nucleotide ribosomal RNA is filed under the name uncultured prokaryote. RNAcentral's name for it is "partial 16S ribosomal RNA". It matches the Rfam family "Bacterial small subunit ribosomal RNA", at positions 524 to 794 of the family's 1533-position model. The record is from RNAcentral.